CCCACAAUGGGACUGAAACACGGCCCAUACUCCUACGGGAGGCAGCAGCAGGGAAUAUUGCACCAAUAGGCGAAAGCCUGAUGCAGCGACGCCGCGUGAGUGAAGAAGGCCUUCGGGUCGUAAAGCUCUUUUGUAGGGGAAGAGGAAGGACGGUACCCUAAGAAGAAGCGUCGGCUAACUACGUGCCAGCAGCCGCGGUAAGACGUAGGACGCGAGCGUUAUCCGGAAUUACUGGGCGUAAAGGGCCAGCAGGCGGCUUGGUAAGUUGUGCGUGAAAGCCUCGUGCUCAACGCGAGGAAGCCGGACAAUACUGUCAAGCUAGAGGGCAUCAGAGGGGAGUGGAAUUCCCGGAGUAGCGGUAAAAUGCGCAGAUAUCGGGAGGAACACCGAUGGCGAAGGCAGCUCCCUGGGAUGCACCUGACGCUAAGAGGCGAAAGCUAGGGGAGCGAACAGGAUUAGAGACCCUGGUAGUCCUAGCUGUAAACGCUGGGUGCUAGGUGUGGGACGUAGAAGUUCCGUGCCGGAGCAAACGCGAUAAGCACCCCGCCUGGGAAUUACGGUCGCAAGGCUAAAACUCAAACGAAUUGACGGGGCCCCGCACAAGCAGCGGAGCGUGUGGUUCAAUUCGAUGCUACACGAAGAACCUUACCUGGGUUUGACAUGUACGUGGUACGAUGGCGAAAGCCUAAGGACCCUUCGGGGAGCGUACACAGGUGCUGCAUGGCUGUCGUCAGCUCGUGCCGUGAGGUGUCGGGUUAAGUCCCGUAACGAGCGCAACCCUUGCCCUUAGUUACAAGUGUCUAAGGGGACUGCCGGCGGGAAGCCGGAGGAAGGUGGGGAUGACGUCAAGUCAGCAUGGCCCUUAUGUCCAGGGCUACACACACGCUACAAUGGUCAGUACAAAGGGUAGCGAAGUCGCGAGGCGGAGCGAAUCUCAACAAAGCUGAUCGUAGUUCGGAUUGCAGGCUGCAACCCGCCUGCAUGAAGCUGGAGUUGCUAGUAACCGCGCGUCAGCCAUAGUGCGGUGAAUACGUACACCGGGGCUUGUACACACCGCCCGUCACGUCAUGGGAGUCGGUAACGCCUGAAGCCGGUAGUCUGGCCCG
RNAcentral lists this ribosomal RNA (1106 nucleotides) under uncultured organism. Its description in RNAcentral is "bacterial SSU rRNA". It matches the Rfam family "Bacterial small subunit ribosomal RNA", at positions 307 to 1442 of the family's 1533-position model. The record is from RNAcentral.